GUGCUUACACAUGCAGUCGAGCGGUAAGGCCCUUUCGGGGGUACACGAGCGGCGAACGGGUGAGUAACACGUGGGUGACCUGCCCUCCACUCUGGGAUAAGCCCGGGAAACUGGGUCUAAUACCGGAUAGGACCACUGAUCGCAUGGUUGGUGGUGGAAAGUUUUUUCGGUGGGGGAUGGGCCCGCGGCCUAUCAGCUUGUUGGUGGGGUGAUGGCCUACCAAGGCGGUGACGGGUAGCCGGCCUGAGAGGGCGACCGGCCACACUGGGACUGAGACACGGCCCAGACUCCUACGGGAGGCAGCAGUGGGGAAUAUUGCGCAAUGGGCGGAAGCCUGACGCAGCGACGCCGCGUGGGGGAUGACGGCCUUCGGGUUGUAAACCUCUUUCGCCAGGGACGAAGAGCAAUUGACGGUACCUGGAGAAGAAGCACCGGCCAACUACGUGCCAGCAGCCGCGGUAACACGUAGGGUGCGAGCGUUGUCCGGAAUUAUUGGGCGUAAAGAGCUCGUAGGCGGUGUGUCGCGUCGGCCGUGAAAACUUGGGGCUUAACUCUGAGCGUGCGGUCGAUACGGGCAUCACUUGAGUUCGGCAGGGGAGACUGGAAUUCCUGGUGUAGCGGUGAAAUGCGCAGAUAUCAG
RNAcentral lists this ribosomal RNA (640 nucleotides) under Pseudonocardia sp. BPSAC158. Its description in RNAcentral is "bacterial SSU rRNA". It matches the Rfam family "Bacterial small subunit ribosomal RNA", at positions 44 to 700 of the family's 1533-position model. The record is from RNAcentral. Lineage: Bacteria; Bacillati; Actinomycetota; Actinomycetes; Pseudonocardiales; Pseudonocardiaceae.